UGGGGAAUUUUGGACAAUGGGGGAAACCCUGAUCCAGCCAUCCCGCGUGUGCGAUGAAGGCCUUCGGGUUGUAAAGCACUUUUGGCAGGAAAGAAACGUCAUGGGUUAAUACCCCGUGAAACUGACGGUACCUGCAGAAUAAGCACCGGCUAACUACGUGCCAGCAGCCGCGGUAAUACGUAGGGUGCAAGCGUUAAUCGGAAUUACUGGGCGUAAAGCGUGCGCAGGCGGUUCGGAAAGAAAGAUGUGAAAUCCCAGAGCUCAACUUUGGAACUGCAUUUUUAACUACGGGGCUAGAGUGUGUCAGAGGGAGGUGGAAUUCCGCGUGUAGCAGUGAAAUGCGUAGAUAUGAGGAGGAACACCGAUGGCGAAGGCAGCCUCAUGGGAUAACACUGACGCUCAUGCACGAAAGCGUGGGGAGCAAACAGG
This 429-nucleotide ribosomal RNA is filed under the name Acidobacteriota bacterium. RNAcentral's name for it is "Acidobacteria bacterium partial 16S ribosomal RNA". It matches the Rfam family "Bacterial small subunit ribosomal RNA", at positions 355 to 776 of the family's 1533-position model. The record is from RNAcentral. Lineage: Bacteria; Pseudomonadati; Acidobacteriota.